Molecule: ribosomal RNA, 475 nt
Filed under: Gemella haemolysans
Lineage: Bacteria; Bacillati; Bacillota; Bacilli; Caryophanales; Gemellaceae
Description: bacterial SSU rRNA
Rfam family: Bacterial small subunit ribosomal RNA
Source: RNAcentral
GACGAACGCUGGCGGCGUGCCUAAUACAUGCAAGUCGAGCGAAGUUUUUCUGGUGCUUGCACCGGAAAAACUUAGCGGCGAACGGGUGAGUAACACGUAAAGAACCUGCCUCAUAGACUGGGACAACUAUUGGAAACGAUAGCUAAUACCGGAUAACAGCAUUAACUGCAUGGUUGAUGUUUAAAAGUUGGUUUUGCUAACACUAUGAGAUGGCUUUGCGGUGCAUUAGCUAGUUGGUGGGGUAAAGGCCUACCAAGGCGACGAUGCAUAGCCGACCUGAGAGGGUGAUCGGCCACACUGGGACUGAGACACGGCCCAGACUCCUACGGGAGGCAGCAGUAGGGAAUCUUCCGCAAUGGGCGAAAGCCUGACGGAGCAACGCCGCGUGAGUGAAGAAGGAUUUCGGUUCGUAAAGCUCUGUUGUUAGGGAAGAAUGAUUGUGUGGUAACUAUACACAGUAGAGACGGUACCUACC